RNAcentral lists this ribosomal RNA (603 nucleotides) under Salmonella enterica. RNAcentral describes it as "partial 23S ribosomal RNA". It matches the Rfam family "Bacterial large subunit ribosomal RNA", at positions 586 to 1190 of the family's 2925-position model. The record is from RNAcentral. Lineage: Bacteria; Pseudomonadati; Pseudomonadota; Gammaproteobacteria; Enterobacterales; Enterobacteriaceae.
UACCUGUGUGACUGCGUACCUUUUGUAUAAUGGGUCAGCGACUUAUAUUCUGUAGCAAGGUUAACCGUAUAGGGGAGCCGAAGGGAAACCGAGUCUUAACCGGGCGUUAAGUUGCAGGGUAUAGACCCGAAACCCGGUGAUCUAGCCAUGGGCAGGUUGAAGGUUGGGUAACACUAACUGGAGGACCGAACCGACUAAUGUUGAAAAAUUAGCGGAUGACCUGUGGCUGGGGGUGAAAGGCCAAUCAAACCGGGAGAUAGCUGGUUCUCCCCGAAAGCUAUUUAGGUAGCGCCUCGUGAAUUCAUCUCCGGGGGUAGAGCACUGUUUCGGCUAGGGGGCCAUCCCGGCUUACCAACCCGAUGCAAACUGCGAAUACCGGAGAAUGUUAUCACGGGAGACACACGGCGGGUGCUAACGUCCGUCGUGAAGAGGGAAACAACCCAGACCGCCAGCUAAGGUCCCAAAGUCAUGGUUAAGUGGGAAACGAUGUGGGAAGGCCCAGACAGCCAGGAUGUUGGCUUAGAAGCAGCCAUCAUUUAAAGAAAGCGUAAUAGCUCACUGGUCGAGUCGGCCUGCGCGGAAGAUGUAACGGGGCUAAACCAU